UUUCCGUAGGUGAACCUGCGGAAGGAUCAUUAACAAAUUCCAAAACACGUGUUUGGUAUUUGGUCGUAUGACUUUGUAAGGCAAGCGUCAUUAUCAUUCAUUGAUGAUGAGCUCGUUUUAUGAUCUUAUAUACCUUUUACCAGUCAUAUAACACAAAACACUUACAUUUAAAAUAUACAAUUUGACAACAAAUGGAACGAGAAUUGAAAUCGUUAAAAAUUAAAUAAUUUUAAUAACAACUUUUAACAAUGGAUCUCUCGGCUCUU
This 266-nucleotide unclassified non-coding RNA is filed under the name plant metagenome. Its description in RNAcentral is "partial contains small subunit ribosomal RNA, internal transcribed spacer 1, and 5.8S ribosomal RNA". The record is from RNAcentral.